RNAcentral lists this ribosomal RNA (369 nucleotides) under uncultured bacterium. RNAcentral describes it as "bacterial SSU rRNA". It matches the Rfam family "Bacterial small subunit ribosomal RNA", at positions 527 to 898 of the family's 1533-position model. The record is from RNAcentral.
GUAGGACGCAAGCGUUAUCCGGAGUUACUGGGCGUAAAGCGCGGGCAGGCGGUCUGGAAAGUCUGAUGUGAAAGCGCCCGGCUCAACCGGGCGAGGCCAUUGGACACUGCCAGACUGGAGGGCAGUAGAGGCAGGCGGAAUUCCGGGUGGAGUGGUGAAAUGCGUAGAGAUCCGGAGGAACACCAGAGGCGAAGGCGGCCUGCUGGGCUGCACCUGACGCUGAGCCGCGAAAGCCAGGGGAGCGAACGGGAUUAGAAACCCCGGUAGUCCUGGCCGUAAACGAUGUGUGCUGGAUGGCGGUCCGACUGGGUCGCUGUCGAAGCCAACGCGAUAAGCACACCGCCUGGGGAGUACGGUCGCAAGGCUAAA